GGGCGCGGCCGCGACUGGCGAGUCAGGUGGAGCACCACCGGGAAGCGGCCGAUGGCAUCCGUCCCGCAUCGCACGCCUGGGUGGGGGAG
Molecule: non-coding RNA, 89 nt
Filed under: Bowdeniella nasicola
Lineage: Bacteria; Bacillati; Actinomycetota; Actinomycetes; Actinomycetales; Actinomycetaceae
Description: Actinomyces nasicola ZTP sequence
Rfam family: ZMP/ZTP riboswitch aptamer (pfl RNA motif)
About the family: Previously known as pfl RNA. ZMP is also known as AICAR.
Source: Rfam by way of RNAcentral